RNAcentral lists this microRNA (22 nucleotides) under Parasteatoda tepidariorum (common house spider). RNAcentral's name for it is "pte-let-7-3p". Its record names the gene pte-let-7-3p. The record is from miRBase by way of RNAcentral. Lineage: Eukaryota; Metazoa; Arthropoda; Arachnida; Araneae; Theridiidae.
CUAUACAGCUUGCUAACUUUCC